This 465-nucleotide ribosomal RNA is filed under the name uncultured bacterium. RNAcentral describes it as "partial 16S ribosomal RNA". It matches the Rfam family "Bacterial small subunit ribosomal RNA", at positions 28 to 507 of the family's 1533-position model. The record is from RNAcentral.
GACGAACGCUGGCGGCGUGCUUAACACAUGCAAGUCGAACGGAAAGGCCCCUUUGGGGGUACUCGAGUGGCGAACGGGUGAGUAACACGUGAGUAACCUGCCCUUGACUUCGGGAUAACUUCAGGAAACUGGGGCUAAUACCGGAUAGGAAUCCUUGCUGCAUGGUGGGGGUUGGAAAGCUUCGGCGGUUUUGGAUGGACUCGCGGCUUAUCAGCUUGUUGGUGGGGUAGUGGCUUACCAAGGCUUUGACGGGUAGCCGGCCUGAGAGGGCGACCGGCCACAUUGGGACUGGGAUUCGGCCCAGGCUCCUACGGGGGGCAGCAGGGGGGAAUAUUGCACAAUGGGCGGAAGCCUGAUGCAGCAACGCCGCGUGCGGGAUGACGGCCUUCGGGUUGUAAACCGCUUUCAGCAGGGGCGAAGCUUGUGGUGACGGUACCUGCAGAAGAAGCACCGGCUAACUACGUG